AAGCGGCACAGCUCAAAUUUGAAAUCUGGCCCCGUCGGGGUCCGAGUUGUAAUUUGUAGAGAGUGUUUCGGGUGAGACCACGGUCUAAGUCUAUUGGAACAUGGCGUCAUAGAGGGUGAGAAUCCCGUAUGUGACCGUGGCUCGAACCCAUGUGAAGCCUCUUCGACGAGUCGAGUUGUUUGGGAAUGCAGCUCAAAAUGGGUGGUAAAUUUCAUCUAAAGCUAAAUACUGGCUGGAGACCGAUAGCGCACAAGUAGAGUGAUCGAAAGAUGAAAAGCACUUUGGAAAGAGAGUCAAAAAGUACGUGAAAUUGUUGAAAGGGAAGCGCUUGCAACCAGACCUGUCCGUAGGUGAUCAGCCGCUGUUCUCAGUGGUGCACUCGCUCUGCGAUCAGGCCAGCAUCGGUUCCGGCGGUCGGAUAAAGGCCUUGGGAAUGUAGCUCCCUUCGGGGAGUCUUAUAGCCCUCGGUGCAAUGCGGCCAGCCGGGACCGAGGACCGCGCUUCGGCUAGGAUGCUGGCGUAAUGGUUGUAAGCGACCCGUCUUGAAACACGGACCAAGGAGUCUAACAUCUAUGCGAGUGUUUGGGUGUUAAACCCAUGCGCGGAAUGAAAGUGAACGGAGGUGAGAACCCUUUAGGGCGCAUCAUCGACCGAUCCAGAUGUCUUCGGAUGGAUUUGAGUAUGAGCAUAGCUGUUGGGACCCGAAAGAUGGUGAACUAUGCCUGAAUAGGGUGAAGCCAGAGGAAACUCUGGUGGAGGCUCGCAGCGGUUCUGACGUGCAAAUCGAUCGUCAAAUUUGGGUAUAGGGGCG
This 811-nucleotide ribosomal RNA is filed under the name Usnea dasopoga. RNAcentral's name for it is "LSU rRNA". It matches the Rfam family "Eukaryotic large subunit ribosomal RNA", at positions 97 to 925 of the family's 3401-position model. Lineage: Eukaryota; Fungi; Ascomycota; Lecanoromycetes; Lecanorales; Parmeliaceae. The record is from RNAcentral.